Molecule: transfer RNA, 86 nt
Filed under: Acidobacteriota bacterium
Lineage: Bacteria; Pseudomonadati; Acidobacteriota
Description: tRNA-Leu
Rfam family: tRNA
About the family: Transfer RNA (tRNA) molecules are approximately 80 nucleotides in length. Their secondary structure includes four short double-helical elements and three loops (D, anti-codon, and T loops).
Source: RNAcentral
GCGGUCGUGGCGGAAUUGGCAGACGCGCAUGCUUGAGGUGCAUGUGGGCAACCCCCGUGGAGGUUCAAGUCCUCUCGACCGCACCA